Molecule: ribosomal RNA, 377 nt
Filed under: uncultured eukaryote
Lineage: Eukaryota
Description: partial 18S ribosomal RNA
Rfam family: Eukaryotic small subunit ribosomal RNA
Source: RNAcentral
CAAUAGCGUAUAUUAAAGUUGUUGCAGUUAAAAGGCUCGUAGUUGGAUUUCGGGGUGGCCUGGCUGGUCCGCCGCAAGGUGAGUACUGGUCAGCCGCCCUUCCUCUCGAAAGCCCCGACUGCUCUUUACUGCAGUGGUCGGGUAGUUCGGGACGUUUACUUUGAAAAAAUUAGAGUGUUCAAGGCAGGCUAUCGCCUGAAUACAUUAGCAUGGAAUAAUGGAAGAGGACCUCGGUCCUAUUUUGUUGGUUUCUAGGGCCGAAGUAAUGAUUAAGAGGGACAGUUGGGGGCAUUCGUAUUUAAUUGUCAGAGGUGAAAUUCUUGGAUUUAUGAAAGACGAACUAGUGCGAAAGCAUUUGCCAAGGAUGUUUUCAUUAA